Long non-coding RNA from Alnus glutinosa, 672 nucleotides. RefSeq lists it as uncharacterized. The record is from RefSeq and is a predicted model, not a curated record. NCBI's taxonomy places the organism in Eukaryota, Viridiplantae, Streptophyta, Magnoliopsida, Fagales, Betulaceae. The transcript has 3 exons.
CACAACCCCCUAUUCCCUUUCUUUCCUUUUCUCUUUUUCUUCCAUUCCUCCCUUCUCAUCACACACGCACCACCCUCUCCAUUUCUUCCUGUCUCUUUUCUUCAUCACACACACGCACACCCCCAGCCAUGAGAGACCGAUUGAGAGAGAGAAAGAACCGGUAUAAGCUUGAGAACCCGUUGAACCCAUGAACCCGAAACCAACAAAGCGAGACCCGAUCCUUCGGUGGGUUGUUCAUGGGUCGACACCAGCAUGGCCAAAGGUGCGAUUUUCAGGGAUUUUCGGUGGAAUUUUCGGUGUAGAAUGAAAAUCCCCUAUGCACGUGUCAUGAUUGGAGACUUCAACUUGUUAUCCAAUGUAGAGUUCAAGUAAAUAGAACACAGGGAGUAUUCGAGUCUUAAGUCCUAUGCAGCCAAAUGUUCCUUUGGCUGCAGGUAUCCCAGUCGUAGUUGAUGAUGUUGUAGAAGUAUGCUUGAGAUAUUAUGACUGAAGCACGCCGCGACGGUUGUAAUUGUCGGACCAUGGGUUGUCCACUAUUUUAUAGGUUUGUUUUAGCUUGUGACGCUUGUGUCACCUGUUAAUGUACAAAGUCAUUUAUGUUAUGUAUUUAAUUUGAGGAAAUAUUUAGUCAAAUAGUUAUUUAAUGGCUCUUUGUUGUAAAUAUUUGUGAUA